AGUUUAAUGAAAUUUAAAUUGCGUUCACAGUCUGGCAACGUAAAGCACUUCCGCAAAACGGACAAAUUCGAAACCCCGAGACUCAGUUAGACGCUCGAGUGCCAUGCCAUACUUUAUCUUCAUUCUAAAAUGAGUCUAAAUCAGUUACCCGAAGAAGUGUUAUUACGCCACAUACUUUCAUUUUCAGAAAUUACUAUUUUUGAUUUGCAGAGUUUGAUGUUUUCCUGCCAUACUUUAUAUCGUAUUAUUCGGAAUUCGAACGAAUUGUGGAGACUAAAGUUCAGUACAAGAUGGCCUCAAAUUCCAAUUCAACACCAAGAAAGAAAUGAAAGGAUUUGGUAUGAAAGAGUAGCUCUUGCAAUAAUGGCAGUUAAAGAAGUUCACAACACUCUGCAAGAAAUCUCCUUUCAGUGCUACCCUUUAAACCAGAGUCCUUUGAGUGCAGCUGAUAAGUUGAUUAUGGGUCAUUUGGGUCAACCUCCCAUUCCUGAAUGUGUGCAACAUGAACUUGAGCUUAUGGCUAGUACCACAAAUGAAAAUUUGACUACACAGUACUAUGCUAGGGAUCUUCUAACCAAAGUAAAAAGCCGUCUGAUAGAACGUAAAUUACAAGAUUUGAUGGCACAACCAGAAUCUCAGAAAUCCCUGAUAGACGGUGCUGUACUCAUUUCCCAGUGGUUUGAGAUGGGCAAGCUUAAACAAACCAACCUAGGUGACAUUAGACAAGUUAUUGAAGACCUCACCGAAAGAGUAAGGAAACUUACCAAUUCUACGGUGUAUAGUGCAGAAUGUUUAUUUCCAACCGCCAAAGCAUGUGAUUCAUUUGAAAAAGCCAAAGAAAUUCUCGACUUGAUUCAUCUGGUUAUGUUUCGUGAUAUAGGCUUUGAACCAUGUCAUAUCUACUGGUUGUCUCUUGAUCAUUAUUGUUCUAUCACAGAGGUGCUUGAAACAAAGCGUGGCUGUCAAAUGCUUUUAACAAUAGUCUUCCAUGAAGUUGCCAGGGAACUUGGUAUUCCAUUACAAAUUGUAAUCUAUAGAGAAUGUUCACUCAGUGGAGAAAGGGACCUACUUCUAAGAUGGAGCAAAGAUCCAGGGGAAGUGGAUGCCGAAAGAAUUUACUACGUUGAUGUUUGUGCUAAGACGUAUGAUUCAUUAAAGCAGUGCCAUUGUUAUCCAGCCGCCAUGGGUCAACCAGCUUCUUCAGCCCAGAAAGUGUUCCAUCAAAUGAUGAGCACGAUAAUAGAACAAUUACGGUUUCAUUGGGGAUCGUUUUUAAAUUUCACUGGCUUAGGAAGAGACAACGAUUUUCGACUCCUCAUUCGACUUGCCAUUAUUAUUUCACCCCGAGAAAAGGAUUUAGUCCUGGAAUAUGCAAACCUCUGCUUAGCUUUAAGCCUUCAGCUGGAAGACGCAAUUCAACUCCUUCUGUCUGUAGGGCUUCAGGCUCAUCAGAUGAUGAAGAAGUGCGUGGAAAAGCUGUGUAGACAUCAAAUAUUAAUCAUUGCGGCGAAAUUUGUUUGUUACCGGCCUCUAACAGUAAAAUAUGCAGUCGGCCUCGUCAUGGAAUAUAAAUCAAUGCCCGAAUUCUACUUCAACCACAGCCAACCUUGUGUCAUUGUUUCGUGGAGCGCCAAAUUUCAGAAAUCCGAUCAAUGGAAGACUGUUCAUAGGAAAAGGAAGCCGAAGGGCGUUAAACAGCAAGAUCAGGCAUUCUACCACAUUUUGGUAAAAAAUGCCCCCAGUGGUUUUAUCGGAUUAAACGUUGCUGAAGAAACUUUAGAGCUUCCUCGUGAUAUCGGUCUUGCUCAUGAACAGCUGGGAUCUGAUUUCGGAGGCAACGGAUACUUUGAACGAUUCGACGGCCGCAGCUGUUGCAAUCGGCUAUGCAACUAAUGGAAUAAUGGAGAGGAAGUGGUUCGCAAAAGAAAAUGCGAAGGGCAUUGAUGGGCCCUUGACAGUCGUGGAACAAGCUAAGACAAAUUUUGGAGCUGCAAUGAACAGUGCAGUGACUGUCUCCUUUAGCCACUCGCUAACUUCUUCGACCCCAAGAGAAGAACCUGAUCUCUAGCCAUUGAUAACGUUCAAUCUAAGGUGUAGCUUAUCAUCUUCAUUAUGAUUUUGAGCACUUGCUUCUACUUAACACCGUCACGGUGCUGCUUAGUCAUUUUCAUUCAAAGCGUUUUGAUGGAAUUCCACCAUAAACUUGAUUAACAAAUGAGAAAACCGGAGAUGAAGAUGAUUCGUUCGUUCGUGUAGAUGCUUUUUGGAAGAUAUGAGAAACUUCCAGGAACAAAGAACCAAUUCCCUUACGUGAAACCAGUCGUCGACUGUUGGAGAACGGCCAGAUCAGUUCCACCACCUUUGGCCAACCUCAGCUCUAUCCCAAGCCAGAACGGCCCGGCAGCUCAUUCCGCCCAGCAUUUCACAACCCCAGAAUUGGCGAAGAAUAGAUUUAGAUCUCGAGGUUUUGGCUCCACUUCAAUUACUCCGGUGAUUCCCAAAGACAAAAUCACCCGGCCAUUACUGAAAAAACAAGAGAAAAGUCGACCAGAUUGGAAUGCGUCGCCAAAAGUAAAAGAGGAAAAGCCAAUCGUAACCAAGACCACAAUGAGCGGAACGAAACCAACUGACAUGGAAAAUGCGAAGCUGGUUCCGUUCAAAGCCAGACCCGUUCCUCGCAGCCAUUAUGACAAGCCUUUUCGACCAGUCUUGCCCAGUAAGAAAGACAAGAAAGGACAACAAAACGCUGUUUCCCAAUUGGCAAAUCGCAUGUGGCACGCCGUGGUGGAUCCAAUUUUCCCUCCAAAGGAAGUGGACGAUGAAAAACGGGUUAACGACGAAGCAACUGCUCAGGAUCCGGAAGACAAAGAAACAGGCAGCGAGGCUCCACACAGCACAAAACAUUCUACGUCGGAAGCAGAAACUGACAAAGUCUUACCGACGGAAGAUGCAGUUGAGCCACUAGCCAAUCCUGGACUUGUCAGCCGUAUGUGGCACUCGAUAGUCGACCCGAUUUUGAAUACGGGGACAAAGGAAUCAGUGGAGGUAGAGAGCAAUUCAAAGGGUUUGUCGGAAAACGAGGAAAUACCGGAAGAAGAUGGUGAUGGAGCCGCUGGAUCUCGAGCGAUGAUAAAGGGACAUCACAGGAGGCCAUAUUCUGACAGUUAUCUAUUGAACAACCGGUCAGUUGAAAUUGCGGAAGAAGAGGAAUCUGCCCGUCCUGGAUCAUUCCAAAGUGUUGCGGAGGAAGGUGAAAAACAAUCAGAAAUGGAUGUAGAACCAUCCGACGAACACCAUCAGAAGAAACAGGCGGAUCAUAAUCAAACUGAAGUAGCAGAUUCGUUUGAUGCCCAAACCACCAAGACUCGUAAAGAGAAGCGUCGCUUUGAAAGCAAAAAUUCCCCACGAAAAUUUACGGGAAACGACGAGUAAUUUUUGCCACCGAUUUUUUUGUCUAACUCAGCAGAAAUGUGGGUUUUACUUUGAUCCAGUGCAGAUUUUGUUCUGAUGUUUGCAGGUAUGCAAAUACAUUUGAUUCAAUUAAAAAAAAAAAAAACAUUU
RNAcentral lists this unclassified non-coding RNA (3561 nucleotides) under Daphnia magna. RNAcentral describes it as "f-box only protein 21, transcript variant X9". Lineage: Eukaryota; Metazoa; Arthropoda; Branchiopoda; Diplostraca; Daphniidae. The record is from RNAcentral.